CUUGAAAAAAAAAAAAACAUAAACAGGGUCGCUUGUGCAUUCCCAGCCUCCCACUCCCUGGUCGGCGCGAAGCCUCGAACCCAGUUCAUCCGACGGGAACCCGGGAAUUAGCAGAGAUACAGUUUGAAUCAGAAAGCAUGUCCACUUAUAUGUGGGCGCCAAUGGCCACUUCCAUGCCGACUUCGUCUUCUUCCUCUCAAUUGCCCGUAAGGAGAAAUUUUAGGACAUGUUGCUUCAUGAAAGCCAGAAAUCAAGCUAAAAUUCCUAUGCCCCCCAUCAACCCUAAAGACCCCUUUCUUUCAAAGCUUGCUUCUGUAGCUGCCACUUCUCCGGAAACGCUGCUUAACCGUCCCGUGAAUUCUGAAGUCCCUCCUUAUUUGGACAUAUUCGAGGCCCCCAAGCUCAUGGCUACUCCCGCCCAAGUGGAGAGAUCUGUUUCAUACAAUGAACACCGUCCUAGAAGGCCUCCACCUGAUUUGCCUUCACUGCUUCUUCAUGGCAGAAUUGUUUAUAUUGGCAUGCCUUUGGUGCCAGCUGUCACAGAACUUGUUGUGGCGGAGUUGAUGUACCUUCAGUGGAUGGACCCAAAAGAACCUAUAUAUAUUUAUAUUAAUUCAACUGGAACUACUCGCGAUGAUGGUGAAACGGUAGGAAUGGAGACAGAAGGUUUUGCCAUUUAUGAUGCAAUGAUGCAGUUAAAAAAUGAGAUUCACACAGUGGCAGUUGGAGCAGCAAUAGGUCAAGCUUGUCUGCUACUUGCUGCAGGGACCAAGGGUAAACGAUUUAUGAUGCCGCAUUCCAAAGCCAUGAUUCAGCAGCCUCGUGUUCCAUCAUCCGGUUUGAUGCCUGCCAGUGAUGUUCUUAUUCGUGCACAGGAGGUGAUAAUAAACAGGGAUACUCUUGUCAAACUACUAGCAAAGCACACUGGAAAUUCAGAGGAGAGAGUAGCUAACGUGAUGAAGAGACCAUAUUAUAUGGAUUCCUCAAAGGCCAAGGAAUUUGGCGUCAUUGACAAAAUUCUUUGGCGAGGUCAGGAGAAGGUGAUGGCAGAUGUUGCUCCUCCUGAGGAAUGGGACAAGGGUGCUGGUAUCAAAGUUGUUGAAGGAUUUUAGUUCCUCUCGGCUGGGCAUCUGUUUACUCAAAAAAGCCCUCUUGUAACUGAGAUGCUAUCUCCUCCUCCAUCUUCUUAUGUGGCAUCUAUGUGGGCCCAUGCAUAGCAAAUCUUUGUCCUGAUAAGGUUGCUGUUCAAGCAAAUUACGAACCCCUUCAGAUCUUUGGUCCAAUAUCUUGAUAUUUCAUGAAAGACCAAUUGUUCUCUGCCAGGCAAGUUCUAGAAAACAACCUCGAAAAUACACAUGAACAACUGUCCAACAUUUGUGCGACAAGAACGAGAAGCGGCAACAAGUUCUCAAACCCAAUCAACCUUCUCCUGUCUUUAUUGGAAGAAACAAAUUCAACAGUAGAGAGAGAGGAGCAAUCGGAGCACUGCAAGUCCCCAGAAGCUCGAUCAAAAUGAAGAAAGCAAUAGACUUAUGGAUUGGAUAAGAAUAAAAAUUAAAGAACCCAAUUGGCAAAUUUCAAAUUGAACAAUAUUCAAAUCUCUCUUUAACUCA
Molecule: RNA transcript, 1613 nt
Organism: Prosopis cineraria
Lineage: Eukaryota; Viridiplantae; Streptophyta; Magnoliopsida; Fabales; Fabaceae
Gene name: ATP-dependent Clp protease proteolytic subunit-related protein 3, chloroplastic-like
Exons: 11
Source: RefSeq, a predicted model, not a curated record